UCCAGCACUUUGGGAGGCCGAGGCGGGCGGAUCACCAGGUCAGGUGAUCGAGACCAUUCUGGCUAACACGGUGAAACCCCAUCUCUACUAAAAAUACAAAAACAAAAUUAGCCGGGCGUGGUGGCGGGCGCCUGUAGUCCCAGCUACUCGGGAGGCUGAGGCAGGAGAAUGGCGUGAACCCAGGAGGCGGAGUUUGCAGUGAGCCGAGAUUGCGCCACUGCACUCCAGCCUGGGCAACAGAGCGAGACUCCGUUAAAAAAAAAAAAAAAAAAAGAGAAGCAUUGUGCGCCGGGCUCAAACCGGCAUAAAACUGGGCAGAGCUAUGUAGUCAGCCACCCCUCCCCCACCCCCACCCCCACCCCCACCCCCACCGCCUUCGCGCCCGCUCGGCUCCGCACUCCCGGAUGCCUGGCAACAGUGAUGUGCUUUAGACCUUUUUUAGAAUGCGUACAAACGGAACCAUAUCUAAGUGAUGUCUGGCUUUUUUAACUUAGCACAAUGCUUUGAGAUUCAUACUAUUGGGUUUAAUUAGUAAUUCCUUUGUGUUACUGCUGAAUGGUAGUCUAUCGUAUGGGUAUGCCACAGUUUAUCCAUUCACCAAUUGAUGGGCCCGUCGGUUGUAGGGAACAGGAGAAAACUUCCCCUUUGCCCUCUGAAGGGUCACCGAAAAUCAACUGACAAGGCUGGGCCUGGGCUCCUGCCUGUAACCCCAGCCCUUUUUUAGGCCAAGAAAGGAGGAUCUCUUCUUUGUGAAGUGUGUAUUCAAAUCUUUUGACCAUUUAUUUAUUAGCUAGCUUGACUUUUUAUCUAAGAGUUCUUUAUAUAUUAUAUUUGAGUUCUUUGUAUGUUUCAUACCAUGUUCUUUAUUAGCUAUACGUUUUGAAAUGUUUUCUACCUGUCUGUGGCUUGCCUCUUCAUUUUAAGUGUCUUUUGAAGCACUGAAGUUUUAAAUUUUGAUGUAAUUUGUCCAUUUUUUCUUUUACAUAGUUCAUAUCUUUUUUUGUCCUACUUAAGACAUUUUUGCUAAAUUCAAGAUUAUAAGAUUUCAUCAUUUGUUACCUUCUAGAAGUUUUAUAAUUGUUGGUCUUCAUUAUAUUUAAAAUGAAUUAUUCUUUAUAGUAUUGAUAGAUGCUGGAGGCAGAUAAGGGAGGGUCCCUGGAGAAUCUCUGACCUGCCCCACAAGCUUUUGUGCAGCUGAGGAAGCCUCCCCAGGGUCUUGUCUGGGCAUGCCCACAAGGGACUUGGGGGCCCACCUGCACUGGGAGAGUGGGGUGCAGACAGAGGGAAUUCAGCCUUAUGCAGCAGGGAGGAGCAAGACAUCUUCAGCUUGUGUGUGUUGGCCUGUUAUUCAGUCUGCGAGCUGGGAGCCUGUUGGCAGGACCCUCCUUGUUUUUUUGCUGAGGGCUUUCUUUUAAUAAAUGCCACUCUUCACCUUUCAAUGUGUUCACAUGCCUAAUUGUUCCUGGUCAUGAGACAAGAACCUGGAUUUUAGCUGAGCUAAGGAGCAAAAAUUCCUGCGUCAGUAUGAGGAGUUGGAUUCUUUUGGUGCCCUUUGCAAUGAAUAAUGGCUAUGGCCUCUGGCAAGUGUUGUCUGCAAUAGCUGAAGAAUCCCAUGUUUUAUGGGGGAGUGCUUGCUGAUUCAUUUCACUACCAGGUCAAAGACACAAUCAAAAGCCUGACAAAUGGAAUUUGUGGAAUUGGAACGAAAAGGCACAAGAACAUCAAAUCAUAAAUCCUUCGAGUAUCAGCAAUGACAUCACUUAAGAGUUUCUCAGAAUCUUAGGCACCACCCCAGGCCUACUGGAUCAGAAUCUGAAUUUUUUAACAAGAUCUCAGAUCCUGAAUUCCAGCGGAAUGGCUGACACCAACUGGUCUGAAGACCCUCACCAAGGAACCAACUCAGCACAGGAAUGCAGUUUCUUCAUCUCCCCAUCCCUGACUUCACCCCUCACUUGUCAACUAAUCAGUGAUCACCACACUUUAGGCCAUCACCUGUGUCCAGACCCCUUAAAAAUCCCAUCCACAAACCUCUUGAAGAGGCGUAUUUGAGGUUUCCUCUCAUCUUCUCAUUUGGUUGCCCUACAGUUAUUAAACUCUUUCUCUGCUGCAACUCCUACUGUUUCAGCGUAUUGGUCUGUUACUGUGCAACAGGAAAUCAGACCUGGUGGUCCUAUAAUAAGAGUUCACAGAAUAUGAUAUACAAAGUGAUCUGUGAUAUACAAAAACCAGCACAAUCUCACUCUUAAUAAGAAAAAUUCAACUUAAAAUUAAAAGGUUUUUUUCCUCAGAAUGGCAAAGAUCAAAGUUUGAUAACAUGGUUGGAAAGUAUGCAGACCAAUAUUCUCAUAUUCAUUGAUGAAGUGUAAAUUGAUACAUCUUUUGUCAGUACGGACAGGUUUCCCAACUCUAGGGGUGAAAUUUUUACAGACUACAGUGUGAAUGACAACCACUUCAAAUUGGGUGACAUGAUGACCCUGACUCUGUGGAGGGUCAUUUGGCAAAAUAUCUCAAAAUAAAAAUGUACAUACAAUUUGA
Molecule: long non-coding RNA, 2535 nt
Organism: Symphalangus syndactylus (siamang)
Lineage: Eukaryota; Metazoa; Chordata; Mammalia; Primates; Hylobatidae
Source: RefSeq, a predicted model, not a curated record